CAGUCGCCGCGGUAAUGCGAAGGGGGCUAGCGUUGCUCGGAAUGACUGGGCGUAAAGGGCGCGUAGGCGGCGAUCAAAGUCAGGCGUGAAAUUCCUGGGCUCAACCUGGGGGCUGCGCUUGAUACUGGGUUGCUUGAGUGGGGAAGAGGGUCGUGGAAUUCCCAGUGUAGAGGUGAAAUUCGUAGAUAUUGGGAAGAACACCGGUGGCGAAGGCGGCGACCUGGUCCUUUACUGACGCUGAGGCGCGAAAGCGUGGGGAGCAAACAGGAUUAGAUACCCCAGUAGUCCCUGUCUCUUAUAC
This 301-nucleotide ribosomal RNA is filed under the name uncultured bacterium. RNAcentral's name for it is "partial 16S ribosomal RNA". It matches the Rfam family "Bacterial small subunit ribosomal RNA", at positions 509 to 807 of the family's 1533-position model. The record is from RNAcentral.